GAUGAACGCUGGCGGCGUGCCUAAUACAUGCAAGUCGAGCGAACGGACGAGAAGCUUGCUUCUCUGAUGUUAGCGGCGGACGGGUGAGUAACACGUGGAUAACCUACCUAUAAGACUGGGAUAACUUCGGGAAACCGGAGCUAAUACCGGAUAAUAUUUUGAACCGCAUGGUUCAAAAGUGAAAGACGGUCUUGCUGUCACUUAUAGAUGGAUCCGCGCUGCAUUAGCUAGUUGGUAAGGUAACGGCUUACCAAGGCAACGAUGCAUAGCCGACCUGAGAGGGUGAUCGGCCACACGGGAACUGAGACACGGUACAGACUCCUACGGGAGGCAGCAGUAGGGAAUCUUCCGCAAUGGGCGAAAGCCUGACGGAGCAAAGCCGCGUGAGUGAUGAAGGUCCUCGGAUCGUAAAACUCUGUUAUUAGGGAAGAACAUAUGUGUAAGUAACUGUGCACAUCUUGACGGUACCUAAUCAGAAAGCCACGGCUAACUACGUG
This 497-nucleotide ribosomal RNA is filed under the name uncultured bacterium. Its description in RNAcentral is "partial 16S ribosomal RNA". It matches the Rfam family "Bacterial small subunit ribosomal RNA", at positions 28 to 507 of the family's 1533-position model. The record is from RNAcentral.